GGUUCUAUUUUGUUGGUUUCUAGGACCGUCGUAAUGAUUAAUAGGGACGGUCGGGGGCAUCAGUAUUCAGUUGUCAGAGGUGAAAUUCUUGGAUUUACUGAAGACUAACUACUGCGAAAGCAUUUGCCAAGGACGUUUUCAUUAAUCAAGAACGAAAGUUAGGGGAUCGAAGACGAUCAGAUACCGUCGUAGUCUUAACCGUAAACUAUGCCGACUAGGGAUCGGAGGGCGUUAUAAUAACCUCUCCGGCACCUUACGAGAAAUCAAAGUUUUUGGGUUCUGGGGGGAGUAUGGUUGCAAGGCUGAAACUUAAAGGAAUUGACGGAAGGGCACCACCAGGAGUGGAGCCUGCGGCUUAAUUUGACUCAACACGGGGAAACUCACCAGGUCCAGACACAAUAAGGAUUGACAGAUUGAGAG
This 420-nucleotide ribosomal RNA is filed under the name Fusarium oxysporum. RNAcentral describes it as "SSU rRNA". It matches the Rfam family "Eukaryotic small subunit ribosomal RNA", at positions 832 to 1254 of the family's 1831-position model. The record is from RNAcentral. Lineage: Eukaryota; Fungi; Ascomycota; Sordariomycetes; Hypocreales; Nectriaceae.